Molecule: long non-coding RNA, 5620 nt
Filed under: Salvia miltiorrhiza (redroot sage)
Lineage: Eukaryota; Viridiplantae; Streptophyta; Magnoliopsida; Lamiales; Lamiaceae
Description: long non-coding RNA (SMIL_LNC008411)
Source: RNAcentral
ACCAUUAUUUAUACGAAAAGUACAACAUAUCGAUUUUUCGGUAUCUUGGUCCACCCCGAACAAUAACAAUAAUCAAAUGACCAACGAUUUGAUAUACUGAACUAGGGCAUCCAAAUUAGUAUACGAUGAACCACCUUUACUACCAGACUUUUUCACAAGUUUAGCCAUAUGAUCUGCCCUUUUCAAAAACUCAUCCUUUCUCACUUCCAUCAAAUCUCUCACUGAUUUCUCAAUAAUCAAUCUAUCACAUGUAUCUUUUAUGUCCAAUCCAAUCUUCCAAACCUCACUCACAAACCUACUAUUAGUUGUUUGGUCACCGAAAUAAGGCCAACAUAUCAUCGGCACGCCAGCCACAAUGCUCUCGAGAGUCGAGUUCCAUCCACUGUGUGUCAAGAAUCCCCCCAGGGCCGUCUCUGAGGGCGGGCGAGCAUGGGCGACCGCCCAGGGCCCAUCAUUUUCGGGGGCCCCAAAAUUUUAUAUCCUCUUAUAUAUACUAUUAUUAUUAUGGGUCCAAUAUUUUGUUUUUUAUGUAUACUACUAACUUUAAAAAAAAUUGGGGCCCAAAAAAUUACAUCCCAAAAGAAUUUUGGAGCCCAAAUAAAUUACAUCACUAAAUAUUUUUGGAUAAUAGCGUGAUGCUGAAAUCUUUAAUUUUUUUCUGAUGUCUGUUGAAGUUGAGGAUAUUAGUGAGAAUAUAGAUAACUUGAGCGAGCAUUAUCGCCUUCUUAAUAUACCAAAUGACGAACAUAUAGCCAUGAUGAACAUUUUAUUCCUUCAUGUGAUAUAUACGAGAAAUUGGGAUAAUAUUGAUAAUAAUACACGUGAUAUUUUAGUUGAAAAAUGGCCUAUUAGAGAAAUGAAUCUUGUAUUUUCUUUAGACAAUAUCUCUAGGCAUUUUUCUUAUGCUCACUAUACUAUAAAAUUAAUCAAUGGUGAGGUGCAAGAUCGAAAGUGGUUCGUAUAUAGUAAAAAUAUUUGUCAAAUACAUGUUGUGAAAGUCGUAUUAAAAGUGCUCGAGCAAUUAGAUUUCAGUCUGUUGAAUUGAGAGAUGCUUUAUUAAAAUUAUGUGAUAUUUGUGAUGAUGCAAAGUCGAAAAGUGAAGCUGAAAGUUUAAGUGCAUCAAUUGAAAAUUGAAAAUUUUUAUUUGGUAUAGUUAUUUGGUAUGACAUUUAAUUUGCUGUAAACAUGAUGAAUAAAAAGUUACAAUCCAAAUAUCUUUGCAAGUAGUAUAGAUGACUUAUCGUGGACGGAGGGAGUAUUAUAAAUGAUUUUGCAAGUAAAAAGACGAGAAUAAAUCACUUUUUAUAUUAUUAAUACUUUAUUUUUAUCGAAAUAUUAUAAUGUGACUUAAGAAAAAGUAUUAUCUUGUGCUUUUAUGAUGGUGGAUAGGGGCCCAUUUCUAUCAUUUCGCCCUGGGCCCAUUUUUAAUCAGAAACGGCCCUGAAUCCCCCCACUGCGGGGUGGUUGAGCACCUUCUCCUGCGGCGCCCACUCCACCAACAGACCCUUUUCUUUACUACGUUCCAUUAAUUCCGCAAAAGCUUGUUCAUUUCCUUCAUUGCCAGUGAUGGAAUCCGGCCUCAUCACCCACAAGAAACUCUGCGAACUGUCGAGCAAGGCGUGCCAGAACUCUAACAGUUGCUCUCUCGUCACAAGUGUUAUGCUCCCGAAGCUCACAUAGAUGACAGAUUUAGGUGGUUGCGUGUCCAGCCAAUCGAUGCACCUCCGAUCCUCUGCCCAUAGACUCGCCUUGAUGACGGAGACCUCCGCCUUCGUCUCCAUUUGUCUGGAUUUCACUUGCAAGUGGAUUGGACCGACGGAGAAAAUUCUCGGUGCAUGCUUCUGUAUCUCUGCAACUACAGGUCCCUCGAGAUCUUCACAAGUGUUAAAUAUGACCCCUUCCUUCACAAUUUGAUGCCCUAUUAACUCUUGAAGAAUCGGGUCGUUUACAUCGUCGGCACGGUAAAAACUAGGCAGGUCACGCCGUCGGAGAAAACCUUCCAUUCCUGGUACACUUUUAACUAAUUCAUCCAUCGAUUUUCCUGCAAAAACCUCAUAGAGAUUAUAGAGUUACAUAUACAUAUCUCUCUUUGGUUGUAAAUUUUCACAUUUUAGUGGUCCCAUCUUUUUAUCCCAUAUCCUAUAGGGUAUGUAAAAAAAUAAAAAUGAUUGCCAAACUGACCUCGGAAAGGAAUAUCUUGAGCUUGAAGCAGCUGAGGAAAGCAAAGAAGAGCCCAGCAGUAGGAGGCGCUAGCAGUGUGAAAGAUGAUGAGCGGAAGCUGGUGCUCUCUUGCAAAGCCGGGAGCGAAGCUCAUAGCAUCUGCAACGAAGCAAGUCACCCGUCUACGGGCGGCGCCGCCCAAGAAAUUCUCCUGGACCAUCAUUUUCUUGAAGAGCGGCACCGUGACUUUUUCGAUGGAGAAGAUGAGGUCCAGGGCUCUCUCCCCGGUGCGGGGGUGGUCGUCGGGGAGGCCGUCGGGGAGAGUGCGGAACUGGAACCCCGGGUAGCGGGCGAAGGCGGCGAGGGCGGUGGUGUGCUCGAGGAGGCGGCGGUGGUUGAAGUCGGAGAUGAUGAAGGUGACGUGGAAGUCGGAUAGGCAGAAGAGAUGCGCGAGAUUGAGCAUGGAGUUGAGAUGCCCCUGAAUCGGAUAAGGGAAAAUCAGCACGUGCGGUGGCAGAUCUUUUCCUUCUUCACAGCUCAUCUUCUUCCAGUUCUGAACUUCCAAUUUAAUGGCUUUUGUUUUCGUUUCUGACUUCUGAGUAUUGCAAUUUAUAGAUGAAAUGAAUGACAAAUUUUGUUGUCCCACUUUUCAUGUCCACCGCUUAUUCCACUGUCAUGUUUUUAUAGUUUUUAAUUGGGUAAAUAAUGAAAAACCCGUGAACUAUAUUCACUUUAUCAAAAAUACUUUGAAACUUUUGAAAUGUUCUCUAAACACUCAAACUAUCAUGUUUUUAUCAAAUUUAUUUUGCAUCUAUUUUUUUCAAUUUUUCAACCUACAGUAUAUAUUAAUGCAGGAAAGUGACGUGAGUUGGCAUUUAUGGCAUAUUUCUGACAUUGUGUAAGAACUUUUACAAAAAACCAAACAUGCCUAUCACCAUCACUUUUGCUUUUGGGUAAUGUGGGUAGUUUUGUAAGAUAGAUUAUAAGAGUGGGUAGAUUAAAUUUCGACCCAAAAUAUAUAUUAGCCUAUUUUUUCAAAAUGCCCCAACAUAAAUAAUUUUAAACUCUUCAGAAUGAAUCUUAAUUUUCAUUCAAAAUGAGUCAUUUAUUUAUAUGGCAAAAAAAUUCUCGUUUAUUCAUCUUUUCACAUUUUCACCUACUACACUUAACACAUUAAAAAUUGUUUUCUUAAUUCUCGUGUCGAAAAGAAUUGAUUCAAGGUUCACGGGAACGGAGGGUGUAGAAUAUAUAUGGUGUAUCUGACCUUGGAAAGGAAUUUCUUGAGCUUCAAGCAGCUGAGGACAGCAAAACAUAGCCCAGUAGAAGGCGGCGCUAGCAGUUUGGAAGAGGAUGUACGGAAGCUGAUGCUCUCUCGCAAACUCGGGGGCGAACCUCAUAGCAUCGGCAACGAAGCAACUCACGCGUCUACGGGCGGCGCCGCCCAAGAAAUUCUCGUCGAGCAUCAUUUUCUUGAAGAGCGGCACCGUGACUUUUUCCAUGGAGAAGAUGAGGUCCAGGGCUCUCUCCCCGGCGCGGGGGUGGUCGUCGGGGAGGCCGUCGGGGAGAGUGCGGAACUGGAACCCCGGGUAGCGGGCGAAGACGGCGAGGGCGGUGGUGUGCUCGAGGAGGCGGCGGUGGUUGAAGUCGGAGAUGAUGAAGGUGACGUGGAAGUCGAAUAAGCAGAAGAGAUGCGCGAGAUUGAGCAUGGGGCUGAGAUGGCCCAGAAGUGGAAAAGGGAAAAUCAGCACGUGCGGCGGCAGAUCUUUACCUUGUUCAGAGCUCAUCUUCUUCCAAUCUGAUCUAGGAAUUUAAAAGCUUUUGUUUUCGUUUCUGAGUCUUGCAAUUAUCAGAUGAAAUGAAUUAUUGAAUUGAGGCACAAACUCAUUCUCCCACUUUUGAUGUCCCACCACUUAUUCCAUUAUCUAUCCUUGUGAUUUGAAUUAUUGGUUUAAUGAUUGGAGAAAAAAAGUCUUAUUAACUGAGUUGUGUUUCACUAUCUUAUUCUAACACUAUUUUAAGGCAAGACACUUUCACUUCUCACAAUACACUUUUUUUUUUUUUAAGGUAAAUAAGAUAAAUAAAAGGGGUACUUAACCCAAAAGGUACAUAAGAGCAUAUUACAUGACAAGUUAGAACUUGGAAGGAAAACAACGGAUCGGAUCAACAAACCAAUCGUGAACCGAACAACAAAAGUUACUAGACAACAUCGCCUUAAUCCUUCUCCAAGAGCAAAAGAUAAUGUUAUCCACAGCCGAAUCAACGCAUCUAUUUUUAAAGAUUCUCUCAUUUCGAGCUUUCCAACUCCAACAAGCACAUUGCCAGAUCAUGUUAAACAUCGAUUUUUCCAUCUUGUUCUUGCCAUUCACAAUACACUUACAUAUUUUUAUAAAACUUAUGUCACUCACGCAAAUCGAAGCGAGUAAUAAAACAACACAAAUUAAUUCUCCUAUGAGAUUGAGUGUAUGGGUGAGACGGGUCGGGUCGAGGUUGGUUAAUAAUUUAAAAUAAUUAUUGUUGUGAUGAAAAGUAAUAUAUAUCUUGAAAAAUACAUGUCAUCAACUUUUUUGAUAUAAGGUAUCAUUAUAUUAUUUAUGAAUAAUGUUGUUUUUGUUGAAUUUUGGAGACGGCUGAAAUCAUUAUUUUUUAUAUUAAAAAAACAAGCAACAGAAACAUUUAUAUAGGCUUAAAUAGAAAUAAAAAAACAAUUAUGUACUGAGUUGGGUUCUCUAUUUGAAUGGGCCCAUUGAGGAAAUUUUCAGACAACACUACGACAGGCUUGACAAAAUAAAUUGCCAUUGUAAAAGACUAUCACCACAAAAAUGCCGAUUUAAUCUAGUUCCACCAUUUUUUUUUUUGAAGCAGUUCUAUUUUAUUCAACAAAAAACAUUUUAAAGUUGUCAUCAAUUGAAAUCUCACAAACACAAAAAGUGAGAGGGAGCAUUCUUGCUCUGGUUCAAGGACAAGACAAACUUGUUAAAUUGCACACUCGUUUUAAUUCUGUUUGCAAUUUUUGAGGAUAUACCAACAAAAACAUCUUUAAAAAUAACAAUAACAAUAAUCACAAUACCAAUGACUCGAUAUACUGAACUAGAGCAUCCAUAUUAGUAUACGACGAACCACCUUUACUUGCAGACAUUUUCACAAGUUUAGCCAUAUUUUCUGCCCUUUUCAAAAACUCAUCUUUUCUCACUUCCAUCAAAUCCCUCACUGCCUUCUCAAUAAUCAAUCUAUCACAAGUGUCUUUUAUGUCCAACCCAAUCUUCCAAACCUCACCCACAAACCUACUAUUAGUGGUUUGGUCACCGAGAUAAGGCCAACAUAUCAUCGGCACGCCGGCCACAAUGCUCUCGAGAGUCGAGUUCCAUCCACUGUGCGUCAAGAAUCCCCCCACUGCGGGGUGGUUGAGCACCUUCUCCUGCGGCGCCCACUCCACCAACAGACCCUUUUCUUUACUACGUUC